CAGUAUUGUAUAGCUUUCAGCAUACAACUCCUGUAUAUGUUUUGUUAAAUUUAUACCCAAGUAUCCCCCUUUUGGGAGCAACUGUAAGUGGUACCGUAUUUUUAAUUUUGGUGUCCAUGUGUUCAUUGCUGUCACAAUGGAUUACAAUAGCUCCAUUAUGUCACAAUAGAUUUUUGUAUGUUUAUCUGGUACCCUGUGAAACAAAGUUACUCAUUAGUUCUAGAAGUUUCUUCUUUUUUUAGUAGAGUCCUAGAGAUUUUCUAUGUAGACCAUCAUGUUAUCUGCACAUUGGGGCCGUUUUUCUUUUCUUAUCUGUCUGCUUUUGAUUUCCUUUUUCUUGCCUUGUUGCACUGGCUGAAACUUUCAGAACUAUGCUGAGUAAGAGUGGUAAGUGGCAGACAGAAUCCUGAGUCUUCUGAGGUUUCAUCCCAGCUCUUAUUCCCAAAGAGUGACUCUUGUGGUGGCAUCUCAGGCCCUGAGGCCAGCCUUACUGCAGGAGGAUCACAGGUUCAGGAAAAAUUGAACAUAGUCAUUCCCAUCCAACGUGGAAUAGACCCAGCAGCUCUCCAUGAGGACAGUUGGGGCUCUCAGCAGAGUGGUCCCAGGUGGCUUCUUGGAACAGAUGUUCCCGGCUCCUUCCUGCAUCGAAAACAAACAGGCGCUGUGUUGUCAUUUGCUCUCCUGGGGAAAAUCCCUCUGCUGCCGCAGAUCCUUCUUGAGAGGCUCAGGGACGUCUGUGAAGUCUCUCCAGGCUGUUCCUUGCCAGGAAUUUGCCUCCAGAUGGAUGGCAGGUCUUCCGAGCCUCAUCUGAAGAAAUGGAAACACCAGCCCCCAGUGGCUCCUUCUGAUCUCCCAUCCUGCCAGCCCCAUGUCCAAAGCAUUGGCAAAUCCUUCGGUCGUGUUUACAACACAGUUGGCGGCCUCUCUCCCACUCUGGUGCCACUGCCACUCUGCUCCAAGCCACCACCAUCACUACCUGGACGACCGCAGUAGAUGCCUGAAUGGUCUCCCUGCCCUAAUUCGUCCCUUCACACCAGCCAGGGAGGAGUGCUUUCCUCAAGAUUUUUGGAAUACCUGCUUUGUUCUCAGUCUUUUGAUGGGGAUUCAUAAGAGUAUAAGAGAAAGAAAU
RNAcentral lists this long non-coding RNA (1129 nucleotides) under Equus caballus (horse). Its description in RNAcentral is "lncRNA (ENSECAG00000054641.1)". Lineage: Eukaryota; Metazoa; Chordata; Mammalia; Perissodactyla; Equidae. The record is from RNAcentral.